GAUGAACGCUGGCGGCGUGCCUAACACAUGCAAGUCGAACGGGAGCUCCUGGAUUCGUCUGGGGGCGAGAGUGGCGAACGGGUGAGUAAUACGUGGGUGACCUGCCCAUAAGAGGGGGAUAACAUCCGGAAACGGGUGCUAAUACCGCAUAGUUUUCUUGAUCGCAUGAUUGAGAAAGGAAAGACGGCCUUUGUGCUGUCGCUUAUGGAUGGACCCGCGGCGUAUUAGUUAGUUGGUGAGGUAAUGGCUCACCAAGACGAUGAUACGUAGCCGACCUGAGAGGGUGAUCGGCCACAUUGGGACUGAGACACGGCCCAAACUCCUACGGGAGGCAG
RNAcentral lists this ribosomal RNA (335 nucleotides) under uncultured Bacillota bacterium. RNAcentral's name for it is "bacterial SSU rRNA". It matches the Rfam family "Bacterial small subunit ribosomal RNA", at positions 28 to 351 of the family's 1533-position model. Lineage: Bacteria; Bacillati; Bacillota. The record is from RNAcentral.